AUUGAACGCUGGCGGCAGGCCUAACACAUGCAAGUCGAGCGGAUGAAGGGAGCUUGCUCCUGGAUUCAGCGGCGGACGGGUGAGUAAUGCCUAGGAAUCUGCCUGGUAGUGGGGGAUAACGUCCGGAAACGGGCGCUAAUACCGCAUACGUCCUGAGGGAGAAAGUGGGGGAUCUUCGGACCUCACGCUAUCAGAUGAGCCUAGGUCGGAUUAGCUAGUUGGUGGGGUAAAGGCCUACCAAGGCGACGAUCCGUAACUGGUCCGAGAGGAUGAUCAGUCACACUGGAACUGAGACACGGUCCAGACUCCUACGGGAGGCAGCAGUGGGGAAUAUUGGACAAUGGGCGAAAGCCUGAUCCAGCCAUGCCGCGUGUGUGAAGAAGGUCUUCGGAUUGUAAAGCACUUUAAGUUGGGAGGAAGGGCAGCAAGUUAAUACCUUGCUGUUUUGACGUUACCAACAGAAUAAGCACCGGCUAACUUCGUG
Molecule: ribosomal RNA, 484 nt
Filed under: uncultured bacterium
Lineage: Bacteria
Description: partial 16S ribosomal RNA
Rfam family: Bacterial small subunit ribosomal RNA
Source: RNAcentral